CUUUCCACGUUGCACAAGCCCAGCGCACGGUACCCACUGGAUAUGCCCGAGGCCUCCAGAGGAAAGGAAAGGAGGAAAAGGGACAGAAGAAAUGUUCACAGGAACUGCAUAUGGGCCUGCUACUUGUGUCAAAAUGUGACUGAACUCUCUUCCAGCAGUGUGAAUCCCUGGAAGGCAAGAUCGCCAUUCUGGUCUCUUGUGGAUAUCAAUGCUGAUCUCAGCUUCUGAUGCACGGCAGUCAAUUAAUAAAUGAUUGUUGCCUGAAAAACUGAGCCCCAAAACAAUAUUACAAGUUUAAUAUCAGUAAAGGAUUUAAUGCUUUCUAACAUGAAGAUACCAGAAGUUGCUGAUUUUUGUAUAACCCAGAGAUGGAUUUAAAUGCAGAGUGUAUGAACUUCUUCAUUCCUGAGGGAGGACUUAUGAUUUCAUGAGAAAUGCCCUAGGAAAGGGGCCGGGGAGACUGAUGGAGAAGAAGAGUUUGGGAGGGAAGCCCCAAGGACCAUCUGCCCCAUCAGAGUCACAUGCAGAGGGUCCUGCUCCUGCCGUUGGAAGUUGGCUUCCUGAGCUGCUGAACGUGCCAGUCCUGCUGACCCACUCUCAGAUAUCACAGGCACCCGCUGUGUCUGACAGAGACCUUUCUGCAAGUACACGUGCAGGUCUGCUCUGCAAAGGCGUUAUCAUCUGCAGAUUAUUGCACAGAGUGGCUACGAGCUGUGGUGUGAUCCUGUCACAGAGAGAGCCUGGUCACGUUUUCAGAACAGCAGGAAACAGGUACACCUGUAAGCUUAUACUUAUCAGAUUUAAAAAUAAAACAAAAAAUCCAUGCUAUUCCAUGAAAAUCGGACUCAAAUAAACUUAGUCACUGAUCUGUGAAGUAAAUAAUCUGAUGGUAAUGCAUCAGUUGACACUUGGGCCUGGGUUUUUAGGCACUAAUGAAAGCCAGGGGCAAAAUAAUUUUUAAUCUACCAUUAUUUCCCUUGAUGGUUCGACAAAAGUUCUUGUACUAGAAAGUUUUAUAAAACUACUUUCUGAGUGUCCUGUGACAUUUCUCUGAUGAUAUAAAAAGUCAAUAUUUGAUAGCUUAAAUAUCAAUAUUGACAGAAAUAUGAUUAUUUAAAUAAAAACACAAAUAGUAAAAUAAUUUUAUAUG
Molecule: long non-coding RNA, 1150 nt
Filed under: Homo sapiens (human)
Lineage: Eukaryota; Metazoa; Chordata; Mammalia; Primates; Hominidae
Description: uncharacterized LOC102723341, transcript variant 3 (LOC102723341)
Source: RNAcentral